UGUAAACCAGGGUAUUGCAGAUGCCAAGGAAGCUAACGAAGAUCUCCAGAAGCAGAUCGAUCUUUUGAACCAAAGAUUACAAGAUUUUAUCAAUAAAAAACAGGGAUCAAGCAAUAGCAAUGAUGCAGCAAAGUCUGUCCAACCAGAAGGCAAAGGUACAACUCCUGGCGCGAAAUUAAAGUCCGAAAGUAAAGAUGAUUCACGCAGCAAAGAUGAAUCUGAUUUCCAAGAUGACAUCUCCAAUGAAGAUAUCAAAGACGAAGACGAUACUGUGGAAACUGGUCAAAAUCAGGAAGCUAAAGACACAGCGAAAAAAGAUAAAAGAAAAGUAGACGAAAAGGGAGAUAAUGGAGAAGAGAAAAAAGACGCACAAAAAGAGGACCUAACAAAACAAAAGGAAGACGAUAAGAAGGAGGAUGUAACAGUUCUCGGACCAGGGGGAGAGAAUAAGGAUUUAAGAGAUGAGACUGGUGAAGAUGAAGACAGUUUACCAGAUGAUGAUUAUUGAUGAUAUUUAUAUUCAAUGCAGUGCUUACUUUAAGUGAUUUCAAGCUGUCAUACGUGCAAUUUUGAGUUGAGUUUGCAAACCUUUCCAAGUAUCAAUAAUUCAUGUCAUUUGUGGGUGGUGGAAGGGGGAGGCGGAAAAGCAUACAGAAAGACAUACAGACGUUUUUUUAUGACGCUCCCAAGGCGUGGUGCACACGGGGUGACAUGACGAUAUAAAACCAAGUCAAAUUCAUGCAUUUUCUUAGUUGUCAUUUUCUUGUAUACAUUUUAUAUGGUCUUAUAUGGUGUUAUUGGCAAUCAUGUCUAGCUUGAAAUACAAUAAAAUCAAACAAUUGAAGCAAUUAUUAUCUGAAGUGGUCUGCCAUGGGUUAUCUGCAUAAUUUAAGUGGUUAUUUGACCUGAACAAGAUUUAUCAGAUGGUUUUCCUAGCGAUUGUUAUUAUUUUAAGAUGACUAUUAGUAAAUUUAGUAAUAAUGUCAAAAUCAAACAAAACUAUCAGCUCUUGUUUUUAUGUAUUCAACAACCCUUGACGAAGUUUUAUCUAGGGCACACGCCUUGAAAAUAAAAUAAAAGAUCUAAGCCGA
Exaiptasia diaphana is the source of this 1091-nucleotide long non-coding RNA. RefSeq lists it as uncharacterized. NCBI's taxonomy places the organism in Eukaryota, Metazoa, Cnidaria, Anthozoa, Actiniaria, Aiptasiidae. The record is from RefSeq and is a predicted model, not a curated record. The transcript is spliced from 2 exons.